This is a long non-coding RNA of Rosa chinensis, 168 nucleotides long. RefSeq lists it as uncharacterized. The record is from RefSeq and is a predicted model, not a curated record. The transcript is spliced from 2 exons. NCBI's taxonomy places the organism in Eukaryota, Viridiplantae, Streptophyta, Magnoliopsida, Rosales, Rosaceae.
UCCGAGCUUGAGAUUAUGCUAUUGCCCUCAUUCAUAUGUUAGUGUUGAUGUAAUGAUGGACUUUUAUAAACUUUGGACUCUAUAUUUUUUGACAAUUUCAUAUAUUGAUGCUAGAAUUUGAUGGACUAUAUGAAUUGAAUUAUAUGGACUAUGGAGUAUCGAAUUAGA